UAGGGAAUAUUAGAAAUGGACGAAAGUCUGAUCUAGCAACACCGCGUGUGCGAAGAAGGCCUUUGGGUCGUAAAGCACUUUUUGGAAGGAAUAGGAAGGAAUGUACUUCCAGAAUAAGUCUCGGCUAACUACGUGCCAGCAGCCGCGGUAACACGUAGGAGGCGAACGUUAUCCGGAUUUACUGGGCGUAAAGCGCGUGUAGGUGGUACUGUAAGUAGGGCGUGAAAGCUCCUGGCUCAACUGGGAGAGGCCGUUCUAAACUACAGAACUAGAGGAUGGUAGAGGGAGGUGGAAUUCCAGGUGUAGCGGUGGAAUGCGCAGAUAUCUGGAGGAACACCGGUGGCGAAGGUGGCCUCCUGGACCAUUCCUGACACUCAGACGCGAAAGCUAGGGUAGCAAACGGG
This 404-nucleotide ribosomal RNA is filed under the name uncultured bacterium. Its description in RNAcentral is "bacterial SSU rRNA". It matches the Rfam family "Bacterial small subunit ribosomal RNA", at positions 355 to 776 of the family's 1533-position model. The record is from RNAcentral.